This 354-nucleotide transfer-messenger RNA is filed under the name Nevskiaceae. RNAcentral describes it as "Polycyclovorans sp002706265 Standard tmRNA". It matches the Rfam family "transfer-messenger RNA". Rfam says of the family: Bacterial tmRNA, also known as 10Sa RNA or SsrA, is named for its dual tRNA and mRNA-like properties. The record is from RNAcentral. Lineage: Bacteria; Pseudomonadati; Pseudomonadota; Gammaproteobacteria; Nevskiales. RNAcentral also lists the same sequence under 4 other names.
GGGGAUGACUGGCUUCGACGUCGGUGCUGAAACUCGCGGUGCAUGCCGAGCUGCAAAUCUGCUCGUUAAACGGUUUGCAAACAAGCUAGUUGCGAACGACGACAACUACGCCCUCGCCGCUUAAUCCGGUGAGCAUCUGACCAGCUGGUGUUGGUACCGCUGAAUCAGGUGUCGACUCAUACCAACUCGUGCAAUGGUUCGCCCUUAACCAACGCACUAAAACCCUAAGGGGAUAAGCAACAGCGAUCCGUGCCCAUCCGGGAGCUGAAGACGAAAAUUAAAGACCGGGCUACGCAUGUAGAUCUGUAGGCGGAAGGCUGGCGGACGGGGGUUCAAUUCCCCCCAUCUCCACCA